RNAcentral lists this transfer RNA (72 nucleotides) under Rhipicephalus sanguineus (brown dog tick). RNAcentral's name for it is "transfer RNA cysteine (anticodon GCA)". It matches the Rfam family "tRNA". From Rfam's summary of the family: Transfer RNA (tRNA) molecules are approximately 80 nucleotides in length. Their secondary structure includes four short double-helical elements and three loops (D, anti-codon, and T loops). Lineage: Eukaryota; Metazoa; Arthropoda; Arachnida; Ixodida; Ixodidae. The record is from Rfam by way of RNAcentral.
GGUGGCAUAGCUCAGUGGUAGAGCAUUCGACUGCAGAUCGAAAUGUCCCCGGUUCAAACCCGGGUGCCUCCU